Molecule: transfer RNA, 72 nt
Filed under: Ovis aries (sheep)
Lineage: Eukaryota; Metazoa; Chordata; Mammalia; Artiodactyla; Bovidae
Rfam family: tRNA
About the family: Transfer RNA (tRNA) molecules are approximately 80 nucleotides in length. Their secondary structure includes four short double-helical elements and three loops (D, anti-codon, and T loops).
Source: Rfam by way of RNAcentral
UCCCAGGUGGCUCAGAGGGUAAAGAAUCUGCCUGCAGUGCAGGAGACCUGGGUUUGAUCCAUAGCUUGGGAA